RNAcentral lists this ribosomal RNA (465 nucleotides) under uncultured bacterium. Its description in RNAcentral is "partial 16S ribosomal RNA". It matches the Rfam family "Bacterial small subunit ribosomal RNA", at positions 28 to 507 of the family's 1533-position model. The record is from RNAcentral.
GACGAACGCUGGCGGCGUGCUUAACACAUGCAAGUCGAACGGAAAGGCCCUGCUUGCAGGGUACUCGAGUGGCGAACGGGUGAGUAACACGUGGGUGAUCUGCCCUGCACUUCGGGAUAAGCCUGGGAAACUGGGUCUAAUACCGGAUAGGAGCCAUUUUUAGUGUGAUGGUUGGAAAGUUUUUUCGGUGUAGGAUGAGCUCGCGGCCUAUCAGCUUGUUGGUGGGGUAAUGGCCUACCAAGGCGGCGACGGGUAGCCGGCCUGGGAGGGUGGACGGCCACAUUGGGACUGAGAUACGGCCCAGACUCCUACGGGAGGCAGCAGUGGGGAAGAUUGCACAAUGGGCGCAAGCCGGAUGCAGCGACGCCGCGGGGGGGAUGACGGCCUUCGGGUUGUAAACUCCUUUCGCUAGGGACGAAGCUUUUUGUGACGGUACCUAGAUAAGAAGCACCGGCUAACUACGUG